Long non-coding RNA from Oxyura jamaicensis (ruddy duck), 171 nucleotides. RefSeq lists it as uncharacterized. NCBI's taxonomy places the organism in Eukaryota, Metazoa, Chordata, Aves, Anseriformes, Anatidae. The record is from RefSeq and is a predicted model, not a curated record. The transcript is spliced from 3 exons.
UUGCUGGGCACAACUGAAAAGAGACUGGCUCCAUCCUCUCAACACCCCCCCCCCCUCAGAUAUUUAUAUACAUUAAUGAGGUCUCCCCUCAGUCUUCUCUUUUCCAGGCUAAAGAGGCUCAGUUCUUUCAGCCUGACCUCAAAUGACAGGUACUCCACCUGUAUUUGGAAU